This 529-nucleotide ribosomal RNA is filed under the name uncultured bacterium. RNAcentral describes it as "bacterial SSU rRNA". It matches the Rfam family "Bacterial small subunit ribosomal RNA", at positions 355 to 896 of the family's 1533-position model. The record is from RNAcentral.
UGGGGAAUAUUGCACAAUGGGCGCAAGCCUGAUGCAGCGACGCCGCGUGGGGGAUGACGGCCUUCGGGUUGUAAACCUCUUUCACCAGGGACGAAGCGCAAGUGACGGUACCUGGAGAAGAAGCACCGGCCAACUACGUGCCAGCAGCCGCGGUAAUACGUAGGGUGCGAGCGUUAAUCGGAAUUACUGGGCGUAAAGCGUGCGUAGGUGGUUUGUUAAGUCAGGUGUGAAAUCCUCGGGCUCAACCCGGGAACUGCGCUUGAUACUGGCAGACUCGAGUGUGGUAGAGGAUAGUGGAAUUCCCGGUGUAGCGGUGAAAUGCGUAGAUAUCGGGAGGAACAUCAGUGGCGAAGGCGGCUAUCUGGACCAACACUGACACUGAGGUACGAAAGCGUGGGUAGCAAACAGGAUUAGAUACCCUGGUAGUCCACGCCCUAAACGAUGGGUACUAGACGUCGGGAAGCUUGUCUUCUUGGUGUCGCAGCUAACGCAAUAAGUACCCCGCCUGGGGAGUACGGUCGCAAGAUUA